GAAAAGACGGUUGGUCUGGUUGCUGGUGGUGGAGCUUAGCUGGCAGGAGAAUAGAGGGACGACGACCGCUCGUUAUCGGUGGGCAGUGGAGGUAGUAGAGGUAUCGGCUUUUGACGGUGAAAGAGAUGGUGGUGCGUAGGGGUUGCCGGCUGGCCGAUCGGUAAUCAUAUCAGGUGGCGGCUACUUCGUAGAGAUAGAGAUCAUAGAGAGACGAGUUGCCUCUAUUUUCAG
Molecule: long non-coding RNA, 231 nt
Filed under: Capsicum annuum
Lineage: Eukaryota; Viridiplantae; Streptophyta; Magnoliopsida; Solanales; Solanaceae
Description: long non-coding RNA (CANN_LNC006397)
Source: RNAcentral